AGGCGGUCUUUCAAGUCAGGAGUGAAAGGCUACGGCUCAACCGUAGUAAGCUCUUGAAACUGGGAGACUGGAGUGCAGGAGAGGAGAGUGGAAUUCCUAGUGUAGCGGUGAAAUGCGUAGAUAUUAGGAGGAACACCAGUUGCGAAGGCGGCUCUCUGGACUGUAACUGACGCUGAGGCACGAAAGCGUGGGGAGCAAACAGGAUUAGAUACCCUGGUAGUCCACGCUGUAAACGAUGAGUACUAGGUGUCGGGGGUUACCCCC
Molecule: ribosomal RNA, 264 nt
Filed under: Clostridioides difficile
Lineage: Bacteria; Bacillati; Bacillota; Clostridia; Peptostreptococcales; Peptostreptococcaceae
Description: partial 16S ribosomal RNA
Rfam family: Bacterial small subunit ribosomal RNA
Source: RNAcentral